This 491-nucleotide ribosomal RNA is filed under the name uncultured bacterium. RNAcentral describes it as "partial 16S ribosomal RNA". It matches the Rfam family "Bacterial small subunit ribosomal RNA", at positions 29 to 507 of the family's 1533-position model. The record is from RNAcentral.
GUGAGCGCUGGCGGUAGGCCUAACACCUGCAAGUCGAACGGCAGCACAGUAAGAGCUUGCUCUUACGGGUGGCGAGUGGCGGACGGGUGCGGAAUACAUCGGAAUCUACUUUUUUGUGGGGGAUAACGUAGGGAAACUUACGCUACUACCGCAUACGACCUACGGGUGAAAGCAGGGGAUCUUCGGACCUUGCGCGAUUGAAUGAGCCGAUGUCGGAUUAGCUAGUUGGCGGGGUAAAGGCCCACCAAGGCGACGAUCCGUAGCUGGUCUGAGAGGAUGAUCAGCCACACUGGAACUGAGACACGGUCCAGACUCCUACGGGAGGCAGCAGUGGGGAAUAUUGGACAAUGGGCGCAAGCCUGAUCCAGCCAUACCGCGUGGGUGAAGAAGGCCUUCGGGUUGUAAAGCCCUUUUGUUGGGAAAGAAAAGCAGCAGGUUAAUACCCCGCUGUUCUGACGGUACCCAAAGAAUAAGCACCGGCUAACUUCGUG